CCUACGGGCGGCUGCAGUGGGGAAUAUUGGACAAUGGGGGCAACCCUGAUCCAGCCAUGCCGCGUGUGUGAAGAAGGCCCUCGGGUUGUAAAGCACUUUCAGUGAGGAAGAACGCCUGGUGGUGAAUACCCAUCAGGAAAGACAUCACUCACAGAAGAAGCACCGGCUAACUCCGUGCCAGCAGCCGCGGUAAUACGGAGGGUGCGAGCGUUAAUCGGAAUUACUGGGCGUAAAGCGCGCGUAGGUGGCUUGAUAAGCCGGUUGUGAAAGCCCCGGGCUCAACCUGGGAACGGCAUCCGGAACUGUCAAGCUAGAGUGCAGGAGAGGAAGGUAGAAUUCCCGGUGUAGCGGUGAAAUGCGUAGAGAUCGGGAGGAAUACCAGUGGCGAAGGCGGCCUUCUGGACUGACACUGACACUGAGGUGCGAAAGCGUGGGUAGCAAACAGGAUUAGAUACCCGAGUAGUC
Molecule: ribosomal RNA, 465 nt
Filed under: Vreelandella stevensii
Lineage: Bacteria; Pseudomonadati; Pseudomonadota; Gammaproteobacteria; Oceanospirillales; Halomonadaceae
Description: partial 16S ribosomal RNA
Rfam family: Bacterial small subunit ribosomal RNA
Source: RNAcentral